AAAGUUUAGAAACUCAGAAAUGCAUAAAACAUCCAAAAUACACACUUUUAGGGAAAUACUCAAGGCCAGAAAUAGGAUGUUGAUUCCUGAGAUGAGUAAUCUGAACACUGCUGAGUAGAAAUGCACAAACAGCCCCAGCCUCUAAGAGACAUUUAACAGAAAGGAGCAGCAGAGAUCUCUCCCACAGAGCCACACAGCAUACAAAUUUGGCCAUUACUGCAAGCUUGAACAUCUCAUGCUGUACACUGCACUUCAGAGGCCACAUAAAAGAUCACAACAAAAGGAAACCUGCAGCUUGUUGCCUUGAUUAGAUGAAAUGCACUGGGUGGUAGAGACAGAGAUUUUUAUGUGAAUUUGUUCAAAUACAAAAAUAAUUUUUUUUUCUCUGAGUGCUGGCAGCAAAAUUCAAGGAUAAUGUUGGAGGAAAAAAGGAAGUCACUGAAACACCAUGCCACAACCUUGGCUUUACCCUCCUGCUAUAAAUACAUACUUAUCCAAAGAGCAGGGACAAGAUUAUAAGGUUUUUUCCUGGUACUGCACACUGAGUGGGAUUUGAUGGUUACUAUGCUGGGAGUUUGUAAGAUACUGUAAAAAAUUCCAGUUUAUCAAAAAUUUAGAAAUAAAAAGUUCUCGACAGAACAUUUUGGAAACCUAGUUUGAGGAAUACCACAUUAUUCCAAUGAAUGGGAAUCAUCUUUUCCAUUUCAUAAACAGAGCCAUUAGACACAUAAGGCGGGUCUGA
Long non-coding RNA from Phascolarctos cinereus (koala), 742 nucleotides. RefSeq lists it as uncharacterized. The record is from RefSeq and is a predicted model, not a curated record. NCBI's taxonomy places the organism in Eukaryota, Metazoa, Chordata, Mammalia, Diprotodontia, Phascolarctidae.